Molecule: ribosomal RNA, 230 nt
Filed under: uncultured bacterium
Lineage: Bacteria
Description: partial 16S ribosomal RNA
Rfam family: Bacterial small subunit ribosomal RNA
Source: RNAcentral
GUAAAGCGCGCGUAGGUGGUUUGUUAAGUUGGAUGUGAAAUCCCCGGGCUCAACCUGGGAACUGCAUCCAAAACUGGCAAGCUAGAGUAUGGUAGAGGGUGGUGGAAUUUCCUGUGUAGCGGUGAAAUGCGUAGAUAUAGGAAGGAACACCAGUGGCGAAGGCGACCACCUGGACUGAUACUGACACUGAGGUGCGAAAGCGUGGGGAGCAAACAGGAUUAGAUACCCUG